RNAcentral lists this ribosomal RNA (214 nucleotides) under Blastocystis sp. subtype 1. Its description in RNAcentral is "partial 18S ribosomal RNA". It matches the Rfam family "Eukaryotic small subunit ribosomal RNA", at positions 134 to 363 of the family's 1831-position model. Lineage: Eukaryota; Bigyra; Opalinata; Blastocystidae. The record is from RNAcentral.
ACUACUUGGAUACCGUAGUAAUUCUAGGGCUAAUACAUGAGAAAGUCCUCUGGUGAGGUGUGUUUAUUAAAAUGAAAACCAUAUGCUUCGGCAUGAUAGUGAGUAAUAUUAACCUAUCGUAUCGCAGGCUUAAUGUACCGAUGAUUCUUUCAAGUUUCUGCCCUAUCACCUUUCAAUGGUAGUAUAUGGGCCUACCAUGGCAGUAACGGGUAAC